UAUAAGGGAUUUUGAGUUUUUGCUUACAAUGUUUGACCACUCGUCUUAUUCAAAAUUUUUUGAAAUUAUUAUUUAUUUUAUUAUCUACGGUACUUUAAGCAAAACUUUUCAUUUUUAUCUUUGGAAAAAAAAUUAAAUAAGACGAGUGGUCAAACGUUGUAAGAAAAACUUAAAAUCCCUUAUA
Molecule: microRNA precursor, 184 nt
Filed under: Oryza barthii
Lineage: Eukaryota; Viridiplantae; Streptophyta; Magnoliopsida; Poales; Poaceae
Description: MIR812 microRNA precursor family
Rfam family: MIR812 microRNA precursor family
Source: Rfam by way of RNAcentral